Long non-coding RNA from Panthera uncia (snow leopard), 471 nucleotides. RefSeq lists it as uncharacterized. The record is from RefSeq and is a predicted model, not a curated record. The transcript is spliced from 2 exons. NCBI's taxonomy places the organism in Eukaryota, Metazoa, Chordata, Mammalia, Carnivora, Felidae.
GGCUAGGCAGGCGUAUGUGGGGAAAGAGCAGAUUUUGAAGGGACACAUUUGGCAUGACUAUCUUAAGCAGCAUAAAUGAUUUUUCUAUUGACAGUCCUCAAAACAACACAUGAGUUUUCUGUAGGUAGUAAACUUUAGUGUAUUCAAAAGAAUCUCAAGUGCAUGACAGCAUUGAAGAGAGCAUCCCUGUGUGAGUAGAUGGUCAGACUGCUAGGAACUGGAACAGAGACAUGCCAGACCUGGCUAUGACCAUGAAAGCAAGGACAAUGCCUUUGGGAAUGACCAAGGACAGGUGGCAGACACAUGGAUCUCAGAAUGCCCAUGUGCAGAAGAGAGGUCCUGCCAACCUAGAACAGAGUGGAGUAUAAUAUGGUAGAGAAGUAAUAAUCUUUCUUAUUUAAGCCAUGCUCUGUUGUGGUCUCUGAUCUAUUAUACCAAAAUUAUUAUCAUUGACAAAUACAAUGCAUGUGU